CAUAGAUUGAGGAGGCGGUGACCGUGGCGGUGGAGGAGGAGGAUGAGGCAGCCAACACUGGUUUUAUAUAUAUAUACAUAUAUAUAUAUUUUAAUUGGAGUAGCCCCCAAAAUAUUGGGACAUGUAAAAAAAGACAACUCUGUUCCGCAGAGUAGCUGUUGACAUUAUAGUUGUGCAGGAACUUUGUUGACUCUAGAGAACCUCCGGCAAAUCGCACAUCCCCGUGGCGGUGACUUUGCAUGCGGAUGUCAUCCAUAUCAACUUUCGAUGCCAGUUUCUGUGCCUACCAUGGUGACCACGGGUAACGGGAAUCAGGGUUGCAUUCCUUACAGGGACCCUGACAAACGGCUUUCACAUGCAAGGAAGGCAGCAGGCGAGCAAAUGACCCACUCCCGACGCGAGAAGGUAGUGAUG
Non-coding RNA from Pelobates cultripes (western spadefoot toad), 414 nucleotides. The record is from the annotation of a GenBank genome assembly. NCBI's taxonomy places the organism in Eukaryota, Metazoa, Chordata, Amphibia, Anura, Pelobatidae.